GGAUGCGAUCAUAGCAGCACUAAAGCACCAGAUCCCAUCAGAACUCCGAAGUUAAGCGUGCUUGGGCGAGAGUAGUACAAGGAUAUGGGUGACCUCCUGGGAAGUCCUCGUGCUGCAUUCC
This 121-nucleotide ribosomal RNA is filed under the name Triticum aestivum (bread wheat). Lineage: Eukaryota; Viridiplantae; Streptophyta; Magnoliopsida; Poales; Poaceae. RNAcentral also lists the same sequence under 1 other name. The record is from RNAcentral.